CUCUAUUUGGGUUCUUUAUGAUCAAACCACUAUCCCAGCUCUUGCUCUGCAAUGUGCUUGGACCAGUUGACUAACAUUGAGUAUGACUGAUGGCGGCUUUCAACAACAAUAGGAGAAUUACUCACCCUAAUCCCUGGAAACUUGCAACGCUCUAUGAAAGAGCCACCUUGCUGUUUAUCAAAGGAGCCUGUAAAGUUUGACCCGAGUGUUUUUAUAUAUUGACAAAGGCAACGAAAACUGGUGAUAACACGGAAGAUCCUGGUUUCUUCUCAAGGAUGUGGGCAAGGACACAGGAACCUCAUUCUCUCUUCCCACAGUUAAUAGGAAACCAACCAUUGGGAUGCCACGCUCCUGUUUCAAAUCCACACUGUGUUCACCUCUUGUGAUGUCUGAAGAUCUCAUACAAUGCCAUCUGCAACAUGUUUCAUGGGCAGUUGGCAUAAUGGAGACUCCUGCUUUCCCUCUCAGGAAUCAGGUUAUGGUAGAAAUUUUUAUCCUGAGGGCCACAUUUCUUCCUGAUCAGCCUUUCAGGGGCCACUUUGCAUUGACUUCCCAGAGAACAAGUUUGGUUCCAUUGUUCAGUGUCUGAAAUGAAGGACCGUGCAUAUUAUUCCUCAGAUUGUACAACAGCUGCCUGCAUCUUUUGGACUCUCUUUGGGAACGUGGCUAUGGGGGCAUCACGAUGAGCUUCUGCACUUCAGAACUUACCGCUCCAUCACUGUAUUUAAAACCCCAGUUCAAGAAGCUUGAUAGCACAUGUGGUUACAUUUUCUAAGAAGAUGUUGCGGAGGUGUUUCAACAGAAGAGAGAGAGAAUGGCUCCUUGCACAUUCUUUAUUAGGAAGUGGUAAGUAUAUUUGUCUCAGUGCAAACCAAUACCUAUUUCUGGAAACAUUGGUUUAAUACUUUUUCCUCUAGCAGAGAGGAUGUUUCAUUCUAUAGACGGUUCUCAGACGCACUGACACUGUUUUCUUAAAAAGUCAGAAAGUUGGGUGUGUGUCCCCCUCCCCUGGAACAACUUUUGUCUUUUCUCUGGAGACAGAAACGAGCAAACGACAAGACUUUUAACUUUGCGACCCAGCGAAAAAUCAAUUUGGGGCACAUUUCCCUACGGCUCAUCAAAUAUGGUGCAGUAGGGCCUCUGAGAACUUUGAGAGACUUUUGCCAAUGCCCAUUUAAACAACGGAUUCCUUUCUAACAUUUCUGAAGGGGUCCAUGCACCAAAUUUACAAAUGCUAGGGUGUCCAGAGAAAGGUGGUUUGUGGUGGUCUUACAGGUAUAGGACACAUUUGUUAACCACUCCAACCAAACCUUUGUGACAGGUCAAAGCAUGCAUUUAAAAAUGAUGUUGCCAACUUUUUUAUUAUUAUUUACUUACUCUGCUCCUGCGCCCUCAUAAACUACCAGAUCACAUAGAAACAAAACAAGCCUCUUUAACUCAUUCCACAGCUUCUUAACAAAUAGUUGUUUAAUUCAUUUGGUCAAUGUGAAAUUCAUUAACAGUUGAAUUAACACCCCUUCCCAAACUCUGAGGUUUUCUGGGUCUCUGUUGGUGGGUCCCCUCCCCUCCCCCCAGUUCAGCUGCAUGGCACCUGAAGCUGUACAUUCAGUAUAGCGGGCCCAAGCCUGUGGAACUCCCACCCACCUGAGAUUAGACAGGCACCCUCCUUGCUGAACCUCUGGUGCAUGACAAAGACUUUAUUUCAACAGGCAUGUUAAGGUAGUUCAGUUUUGUUGGCAUGAUGAAUUUUAAUUGUUCAUAUUCUCUGUAUUAAACAUUUAUAAAAAGCUUUUUUGGGUGGGAGAGAGGAGUCCUUUAAAUUGGACUGAAGAGGACACACACGGGAAGGGAACAGUCAGAGAGAGAAGGGGGGUCCUGGCAUGAAAUGCAGGAUAGAAAGGGUCUCCCAGCGAGAAGAUGUAGGGUCCCAGGUGGGAGAUGGGAGGGUCUCUGUGUGUGGUUAAAUGAUAGGAUAUAUAUGAUAAAAAUAUGAUAAAGGGCCUUAAAUUUUUUUCUCCUUUUUUCUCUCUUUCUCUUUCUCCUCUUGCUUUUUCUAUUCUUGUUCUGUAGACUAGUCUGAUUCUUACUGGAUUUUAUGUCAAAAAUUCUCAGUCAACAUCUUUCUUAUAAAAAACGAUUUUAGACACACUGCUUAGAAAUUCUGAAUAUUAAGGUUUAUACAAAUACAGUGUGGUACCUCGGUUUUUGAACGCAACCCGUUCCGGAAGACCGUUUGAGUUCUGAAACGUUCGAAAACCGAAAACUCAAUAUGGAAGCCUCAGUACGGAAAACUCAAUGCAGAAGCCGCAUGGCAUGUUCGACUUCCGAGGCGUGUUCGAAAACCAAAGCAUUUACUUCCGGGUUUACGGUGUUCGAAAACCGAAAUGUUCGUCAACGGAUACCACUGUAUCUGAAAUAAUAAAUCUGAGGCCCUGCUUCAGUUGACCA
Molecule: non-coding RNA, 2448 nt
Organism: Podarcis muralis (Common wall lizard)
Lineage: Eukaryota; Metazoa; Chordata; Lepidosauria; Squamata; Lacertidae
Source: RefSeq, a predicted model, not a curated record